RNAcentral lists this ribosomal RNA (512 nucleotides) under uncultured Blastocystis sp. RNAcentral describes it as "SSU rRNA". It matches the Rfam family "Eukaryotic small subunit ribosomal RNA", at positions 503 to 1021 of the family's 1831-position model. The record is from RNAcentral. Lineage: Eukaryota; Bigyra; Opalinata; Blastocystidae.
UUGCAAUUGGAUUGAGAACAACGUACAAACCUUAUCGAUAAACAAUUGGAGGGCAAGUCUGGUGCCAGCAGCCGCGGUAAUUCCAGCUCCAAUAGCGUAUAUUAACGUUGUUGCAGUUAAAAAGCUCGUAGUUGAAAUGAAGGGUAGUUGUGUAAUGAAUACAUUCGUGUAUUUUGUUAUUCUACUACCCUCCUUCUAAAUUCGAUAUAUGAGUAUUAAUUUACUUGUAUAUGGUUUUAGACCUUUACUGUGAGAAAAUUAGAGUGUUCAAAGCAGGCAUUUGCUUGAAUAUAUUAGCAUGGAAUAAUCAUGUAUGAUUUUCAUGAUGUAUUUGAUUGGUUUGGUUCAUGAGAAUAAGAUUAAAAGGGACAGUUGGGGGUAUUCAUAUUCAAUAGUCAGAGGUGAAAUUCUCGGAUUUAUGGAAGAUGAACAAGUGCGAAAGCAUUUACCAAGGAUGUUUUCAUUAAUCAAGAACGAAAGUUAGGGGAUCGAAGAGGAUUAGAUACCCUCGU